GACGAACGCUGGCGGCGUGCUUAACACAUGCAAGUCGAACGGAAAGGCCCUGCUUUUGUGGGGUGCUCGAGUGGCGAACGGGUGAGUAACACGUGAGUAACCUGCCCUUGACUUUGGGAUAACUUCAUGAAACUGGGGCUAAUACCGGAUAGGAGCUCCUGCUGCAUGGUGGGGGUUGGAAAGUUUCGGCGGUUGGGGAUGGACUCGCGGCUUAUCCGCUUGUUGGUGGGGUAGUGGCUUACCAAGGCUUUGACGGGUAGCCGGCCUGAGAGGGUGACCGGCCACAGUGGGACUGAGAUACGGCCCAGACUCCUACGGGAGGCAGCAGUGGGGAAUAUUGCACAAUGGGCGGAAGCCUGAUGCAGCAACGCCGCGUGCGGGAUGACGGCCUUCGGGUUGUAAACCGCUUUCGCCUGUGACGAAGCGUGAGUGACGGUAAUGGGUAAAGAAGCACCGGCUAACUACGUG
Molecule: ribosomal RNA, 468 nt
Filed under: uncultured bacterium
Lineage: Bacteria
Description: partial 16S ribosomal RNA
Rfam family: Bacterial small subunit ribosomal RNA
Source: RNAcentral